UACGUAGGGGGCAAGCGUUGUCCGGAAUUAUUGGGCGUAAAGAGCGCGUAGGCGGUCCGAUAAGUCGGCUGUGAAAGUCGGGGGCUCAACCCUCGAAUGCCGGUGGAUACUGUCGGGCUAGAGUGCGGAAGAGGCGAGUGGAAUUCCUGGUGUAGCGGUGAAAUGCGCAGAUAUCAGGAGGAACACCAAUUGCGAAGGCAGCUCGCUGGGACGUAACUGACGCUGAGACGCGAAAGCGUGGGGAGCAAACAGG
This 253-nucleotide ribosomal RNA is filed under the name uncultured bacterium. RNAcentral describes it as "partial 16S ribosomal RNA". It matches the Rfam family "Bacterial small subunit ribosomal RNA", at positions 524 to 776 of the family's 1533-position model. The record is from RNAcentral.